CGAGUGACGGCGGGGGAGGGGCGGGGCUUGUCCGCAGCAGUAAAGGUCCAGAGCACAGAUGUGGAGGUCACUUUUACUUUUAAUUUGAAUUUUGAUAUACCUGCCUGAUUAUGCAGGAGCGUGUUUUCAUUCCUGAUUCAGACAGAUCCGCCUGCGAGCUGCAUCCGUUCCUGCGCGUUUGACGCGAAAAAGAAAGCAAAAAAAAAAAAAAAAAAACGGGUUGCAGAUGAACGUUAGGAGGAGAAAGUGAGAUGAUGGCGGCGGAUGCGGAGGAGACGGGAGGGCGGACGGACCCGUGUGCUCCUCCCGGCAUCAGUCUGAGGCGGAGGGGCUCGGACAGGAGGUGGAGGCUGCGCUCUGUGUAUCUGCAGUGCUAUUUUCUGACAAUUGCAACCAUCCUGGGAACAGGAAUUUUGGGUCUUCCUGUAACGAUAGCCCAUGCUGGCAUGAUGCCCUUCCUCAUCUCCUUCCUUGUUGGUUUCUGUGUUCAGGCCUUACUCAUCUACCUGUUUGUGGAGCUUCUACAGAAAUGUCAGGCAAUGCAGCUGGAGUCUCUAAAGACCGGAGUGGCAGAGUGCAUCAUGAUGAGUCCAGUGAACAUCCAGAGCCCAACCUUCACAGACGAUGAGGAAGAGGAGGAAGAUGAAGCAGACAACGCAGCAGCAGAUACAGGUCUGCUGCAGCCGCACACUCUCACACUGCAGGAGCAGGCGGAAAACCUUCAGCCCAACCUAUAUCUCCUGGGGUGCCUCUUCCUGUCUCCGCCCAUGAGCUGCGCCUUCAGCUGCAUUCUCCUCUUCCAGUUGAGGCUAAGAGCCGGAUCGAUGCAGAGGCUCAGCCGCUCCGUUUCCCGGCACACAGGGACUCGGCGCUGCCCUUCACAGCCAGCGGCCCAUGUUCACACACGCCUCUGCUCUGCAGACACACAGCCUGUGUGCUCCUUCUCUGUCCCAAAACACCUUUCUGCCUGAAAAAAUGACGUCAUGUGCGCCAGUUUUUGUCAAUAUAUUGAAAACUCAUCUCUUUUAUUUAUUGCAAAAAUCUCUUUAUCAGGUAAAUGGGUCCAAUUUCCAUACUGAUGUCUGAUAUCUAGCUACAAUGCAACAUUUCGUGAAUGUUCCCCCAGGUUUUAUCUUUCACAGCUCUAUUCCAACAUUGGCUUUGGUGUAAAGAAUUCCAGCCAGACAUAAAACAGCAAUUAUUAAUUUACCCUUUCACGAUUGAUUCUGAAAACACUUCCUAAUCAGUCCCUGAUGGGUCAAAGUUCAACCUAACUUUUAACGUGCAUUCAGUGGCUGCAUGUUUUGUACAUAGAUCCCAAAAACAAUCACAGAAAUGUAAGUAACUGCGCCUGAACGCGAGAGUUUUAAACGUGGAAGCCCUAACACACGAGGUUACACACAUUUCCAUAGACCUUUCAUUGAAAGCGGCAGCUUGAAUGCACAUUGCUGAGGGCGGUGUG
RNAcentral lists this long non-coding RNA (1462 nucleotides) under Oryzias sinensis (Chinese medaka). RNAcentral's name for it is "lncRNA (ENSOSIG00000005866.1)". Lineage: Eukaryota; Metazoa; Chordata; Actinopteri; Beloniformes; Adrianichthyidae. The record is from RNAcentral.